Molecule: transfer RNA, 76 nt
Filed under: Hyphomicrobium sp.
Lineage: Bacteria; Pseudomonadati; Pseudomonadota; Alphaproteobacteria; Hyphomicrobiales; Hyphomicrobiaceae
Also listed under: 39 other names
Description: tRNA-Ala
Rfam family: tRNA
About the family: Transfer RNA (tRNA) molecules are approximately 80 nucleotides in length.
Source: RNAcentral
GGGGCCGUAGCUCAGUUGGGAGAGCGCUUGAAUGGCAUUCAAGAGGUCAGGGGUUCGAUUCCCCUCGGCUCCACCA